Molecule: non-coding RNA, 2596 nt
Organism: Paramuricea clavata
Lineage: Eukaryota; Metazoa; Cnidaria; Anthozoa; Malacalcyonacea; Plexauridae
Source: the annotation of a GenBank genome assembly
CGUAGUCGUGCUCGACGGACAUUUCAGUCGCUAAUUAAUGUUUCUUUUCCCAAAAUCGUUGGCGGGGGGGGGGGGGGAGGAAAAAAUUUUCGGACAUACCAUUUUUCACAAACUUCCGAACUAAUGUACAGUAAUUUGUACAAUUUUUCAAUAAUAUUUUCGUAAAUUUAUCAAAAUUUUCCGCCUACAACUAUUAUAUUUCAAUAAAUUAAUAUGUAAAAUUGUUUGCUCAAUUACAUAUUUUUUGCCCGACGAGCGUGUCGUUGAAAUUGUUAAACUUACCCAACGAAACUACAAUAUUACAAUAUUGGGGGGGGUGUCCCCCCCCCCACCCCCCUGUAGACGGCCCUGCACAAACUCUAACCCUAACUAAUAAUAAUCCUAACCUAACCCUACUCCAAGUUUGUUUCUAAACCAAUCUUGAAGAAAAACGUUUUGACGAAUGUCAUUCUGAGGUCAGCGAACUGACCUUUUCCUUAAGGAUACAACUAGAGACGCCAACAUUCACAUGAAAAGUACAAGGAGAAAAAAUAAUAUCAGAAAUAAUAGUAUGAUGUUAAUACUAAUAUGGUUGGGUAUUAAACUCCGUGUAAUAAUUUAUUAUUUAAUAUGAUGUAAUUAUAAUAUGACUGUAAUUAAUAUGACUGUAUUAGUAUUACUGUAAUGAUACUAAUAUGACUGAUUGGGUAACUCCGUGUACUAAUUUAUUAUUUAAAAAACAAGAAUGAAGAUCAAGAAGUAACUAAAUAAAAAUAAAAUUUAGAAAAUGGGGAAAAAAGAAAAAUUUAUUAUUUAACAUGACUGUAAAAAUUUGUUAUUUAGUAUGACUGUAAUUAUAAUAUAACUGUAUUAAUAUGACUGUUAUAAUAUUAAUAUGAUUCGAGGAUCAACAGUAAUUGGUCUAUGCUGUUGUGGUGAUCCUGUCAUUAGUUUAUGUGCCAAAGUUAAAUAAAAUAAAUGUGGAACUCAUUAAUAAUUCAUGAAGAAAACACAAACGUAAUCAAGAACGUGAUGGAGUUUGUAUAUCUGAUACAGAAAUCAUGCUGAUUUACAUAAACUUUAAAUUCAAUUUUCUCACCAAAUAUCAUUCAUUUAUUUGAAAUUCCUGAAGAAUACGACGUUUCACAACACGGCUGCCCACGAUGUAAAUCAUUUAUCUCGCAUUGUUUUUGGUAAUUACCUCAAUCACUGGCUUUAAUGGCAUGCACAGGGCUUACUUGUGUAACAAAAUCUACAUCUACAACAUUAGAUGUUAUUAUCACUAACUGUCUACAAUAUUUUUUCCCAUUCGAGUACAUAUACUGUAGUUCAGCAUCGAAUUGUGACCACUCUCACACAUAUAUGUGAAAUUGAAGAUUCCUUACUAUAUAAGUAGUCUUUCAAACGACGUAUUUGGGAUUUUUCCAUUGUCAAUAAAGCUCAUUUAUGUUGGUUUUGUGGUUAUUUAUCUAAUAGAGAGUUGUGAUAGAGGGGCAAUGUUCGAGCAGUAGCUGGUGUUCCACAAGGUCCUCUGCUCGGCCCAAUAAUUUUUUUAUAAAGAUAUAAAUUAUAUUUCUAAAUAUACUGUGGCUAUUUUCUUUAUGCUGAUCACACAUCCCUACUUGAAAUGGUUGGAAAUUUAUCAUCGUCUGAUAUUAAGUAGGGCUGCAUGAAAUGAUUGAUUGUGAUCACUCUUACAUAUAUGCAAAAUUGAAGACUGCGUACUAUAAGCAGUCUUUCAAACGGCAUAUUUGGGAUUUUGCCAGUGUCAUUGCAGCACAGAUUAAUGAGAGGGGACCCACUUUUGGUGUCGUAGUCGUUUAUCUGAUAGAGAGUUGUGAUAGAGGGGCAAUGAUUAAGGUAUCUUGAAGCUGGUGUUCCACAAGGUUUUCUGCUCGGCCCAUUAAUUUUUUUAUAAAGAUAUAAAUGCUAUUUGAUGAUAACAAUCUUUAUUCAGGAGGCAUUCUCACAGAAGUGAUUUUCAGAAUGGACCUGUACUAUAGAACUAGUAUUAUACAAAGUGAAGAAUAUUAUAUCUAAUCUAUUUACAUGUGGUCAAAAGUUAAAAAUAUCAUAAAUUAUCUAUCAUUACAAUAGUAUACUUGCUGAACUGGUAAAAGUUUAAAAGUCGAGAAGAACAAUAGUACAUCAUGGCCGACAGUCAAAAACUUUGGAUUUAAAUUGAGAUAUUGUCUGGGCAUUUUGACAAUCCGACUCAAGGUUGUUAUAGUCAUACACAGCAUGAUAAGUGACUUUAUGUUUACCCCAAUUUGACCUUGUCUUGGGUAAAUGAAGAAAGCAACUCUGUCGAGUAUUAUAAUUAUGAAUACUGCUAUUAUAUACUAAAUUAAAGUCAAAGUUUAUGUGAUUAUUUAAACAUUUAAAAAUUAAGAUGCAUCGAUGGGCACGUCUUCUUUCACUCAGUCGUUUCCAUUUUAAAGUUGACAGAGCCUCUGUUGACGAAAAGGAUAUUGGUUUGUUCAAUAUAAUUUUUGCUGCUUUACUUUGUUGGACUUGUAAAUCGUUCAUCAAUGAUAUAUUGUUUUUGUCACCCCAUAUCACAUCCCCAUAGUCAAAUAAAGGGAGAACAAGGCAAUUUCUAAAUAUACUGUGGCUG